AACGCAGCUCCGCUCCGAAUUUGCCUCCACCGUGUCGUCCUCGCACGAAGCAUUCCCCACCCCACGGCUGGAAUGACAUCAGAGCAGCUCCGAGACCUUGAAAGUCUGCGGGCUGAUUAGCGGGAGGAAUCGGCCGCUUCUGCCAAUCACAGCCCUGCGAAGCCGCCUCGCUACUCCUGGAGAUCGGCGGGAGAAGGAGGCUGAUUCCGGCACACGGGAGCGCAGCGCCGGCAGCAGGACCGCCAGCAGCUGCUCUUCGGACCAUUAAACAGUUCUCGCAGCCUUCCUGCCGGAGCCUGCCGGCUCCCCGGCGUAAUCCCCGUGUCCAAGAAGGAAGCCGCGUUUGGAACGGUGUGCUGAGCAGAGGUUUGAAUCAUUCCAGCUGGCUGCUCGCUYUGAAAAGGACAGGCUGCCUAUAAAUGAGAUGUGACUGUGCCGGCAGAGUUCGCUGACUGGGGCUGGAGCAAGAGGAGCCUGCCUGGGAUGCUGCUCAGACAGCUGCUGGCUGUAGAAAACUCUCCCUAGUUUACCUGGAGCUCUCCGAAGAGGUUUGAGUAGCAGAUGUCUUUUUGCYGCACGCUAGGAAGAGAAAUCCUUCUCUAGAUAAUGUUAAGAGUCCUCCUCAUUGAUUAUUGGCAGCUGCUGCAUUCUGAGAAAACGUCUUUCAAUUCAUCUUUCCGGAUCCUUUGACUUCCCUCUCAAACAGCUUUACAGCCUCCCCRACAGCUUCAUAAAUGCACUGCAAUGGUCACAUGAACGUCUUGGAAGGGGAAUUGGCACCUCUGCAACUCCUCAUUCCYAUGGCACUUUAGGAGGAGCACCCGGAAGAGCGGCGAGUCCAGCAGGAUCUGGAAGCCCCACGAAAGAUGAAUCUCAUCGGGAAGCUCCGCAGAAGCUUCCGGACACUGGUCGUUCUGCUGGCCACCUUCUGCUUGGCAAGCAUUGUCAUCUCCGCCUAUUUCCUCUACACUGGCUACAAGCAGGAAAUGGCCCUCGUGGAAACCACCGGACAAGCUGAGUGUGAGGACCUCAAACUUCUGCCCUACAGGUCUGUGGAGCUGAGAACCCCCAAGCCAAUUGAUCCCUCCAGAACUGAUCCCACUGUGCUCCUGUUUGUGGAAAGCCAAUACUCCCAGCUGGGGCAAGACAUCAUAGCCAUCCUCGAGUCCAGCAGGUUCCAGUACCACAUGGUCAUCGCGCCAGCCAAGGGCGACAUUCCCCCUCUCACCGACAACGGCAGAGGGAAAUACACCAUUGUUAUAUACGAGAAUAUUUUAAAGUACGUGUCCAUGGACUCGUGGAAUAGAGAGCUUCUGGAAAAAUACUGUGUGGAAUACAGUGUUAGCAUCAUUGGUUUUCAUAAAGCCAACGAGAACAGCUCACCGAGCAUCAGACUGAAGGGGCUGCCAUUGCAGCUGCACACCAACGUGGCCCUCAGAGACUGCGUGGUGAACCCUCAGUCGCCSCUGCUGCGCAUCACCAAAGCGCCCAGGGUGGAGAAGGGGCCCCUGCCCGGUGAGGACUGGACRGUGUUCCAGUUUAACCACUCCACCUACCAGCCCGUGCUGCUGACAGAGCUGCAGCCCUCCAGGCCCACCCCCGCCACGCUGCCGAGGGCUGCUCUCUAUGCCACCGUCAUCCAAGACCUGGGCCUGCACGACGGCAUCCAGAGAGUCCUCUUUGGAAACAACCUGACCUUCUGGCUCCACAAACUCAUCUUUAUCGAUGCCAUCUCUUUCCUGUCGGGGAAGAAGCUCACGCUCUCCUUAGAGAGGUACAUCCUGGUUGACAUMGAUGACAUCUUUGUCGGGAAGGAGGGGACGAGGAUGAACAUCAACGAUGUGAAGGCUUUACUAGAGACUCAAAAUUUACUGCGCACUCAGGUUGCAAAUUUUACCUUCAACCUUGGAUUUUCAGGAAAAUUUUACCACACAGGGACUGAGGAGGAGGAUGAGGGUGAUGACCUGCUGCUGAGAUCUGUGGAUGAGUUCUGGUGGUUUCCCCACAUGUGGAGUCACAUGCAGCCACACCUCUUCCACAAUGAGUCCUCACUGGUGGAGCAGAUGAUCCUCAACAAGGAGUUUGCCUUAGAGCACGGCAUCCCGACGGGCAUGGGCUACGCGGUGGCUCCGCACCACUCCGGGGUGUACCCGGUGCACGUGCAGCUCUACGAGGCCUGGAAGAAGGUGUGGCACAUCCGAGUGACCAGCACRGAAGAGUACCCACACCUGAAACCUGCACGGUACAGACGGGGCUUCAUCCACAAUGGCAUCAUGGUUCUCCCUCGACAGACCUGUGGCCUUUUCACUCACACUAUUUUUUACAAGGAAUAUCCUGGGGGUCCUCAGGAGCUGGACAAAAGUAUCCGAGGAGGUGAACUGUUCCUCACCAUUCUCCUGAAUCCCAUCAGCAUCUUCAUGACCCAYYUGUCCAACUAUGGCAACGACCGCCUGGGGCUCUACACCUUUGCCAACCUCGCCAGCUUUGUCAAGGGUGCCACCAACCUGAACCUGCAGACCCUGCCCCCCGUGCAGCUGGCUCACAAAUACUUCGAGCUCUUCCCCGAGCAGACAGACCCUCUCUGGCAGAACCCGUGUGAUGACAAGAGACACAGGGAUAUUUGGUCCAGAGAUAAAACUUGUGACCACCUACCCAAAUUCCUGGUGAUAGGACCCCAGAAAACAGGAACAACAGCCCUUUAUUUAUUCCUUCUGAUGCAUCCUUCCAUCAUCAGCAAUCUCCCCAGCCCAAAAACUUUUGAGGAAGUUCAAUUCUUCAAUGGCAACAACUACCACAAGGGAAUUGACUGGUACAUGGAUUUCUUCCCCACUCCUUCCAACAUCACCACUGACYUCCUCUUUGAGAAAAGUGCCAACUAUUUCCAUUCRGAGGAAGCUCCCAAGAGAGCUGCUUCCCUCAUCCCCAAGGCCAAGAUCAUCACCAUCCUCAUCGACCCGUCCGACCGGGCCUAUUCCUGGUACCAGCACCAGCGCUCCCACGAGGACCCCGCUGCCCUGAGGUUCAAUUUCUACGAGGUGAUCACGGGCAGCCCCCGGGCACCCGCSGAGAUCCGGGCGCUGCAGAGGAGGUGCCUGAGCCCCGGCUGGUACGCGCUGCACAUCGAGAGGUGGCUGGCACACUUCCCUGCCUCCCAGUUGCUCAUCAUCGAUGGACAGCAGCUGAGAAGUGACCCUGCUACUGUGAUGGAUGAAGUGCAGAAGUUUCUGGGAGUCUCUCCUCAUUACAAUUACUCUGAAGCCCUAACGUUUGACCCUCAGAAAGGCUUCUGGUGCCAACUAUUGGAAGGAGGGAAAACAAAGUGCCUGGGGAAAAGCAAAGGUCGGAAAUACCCACCAAUGGACCAAGAGUCUCGGGCGUUUCUGUCGAGCUACUACCGAGAGCACAACGUGGAGCUGUCCAAGCUGCUGCACAGGCUGGGCCAGCCGCUGCCCUCGUGGCUGAGGCAGGAGCUGCAGAAGGUCAGGUAGCACUGUGGACAGGGGACCCUGGCCAGGCCCAUUCCUGCCCCCUCGGACCCCCCGCUCCUCCGGCUCACUCGGGAUCGUCAGGACAGGACCUCAUGGACCAUGCCCUUCCCAGCAAAACCAACACCAGACCAUGAACAAACCAAACCAGCCCCAACCCUAAAGCCACCCACCGUUGGUAUGCACGUGCUGAGAGCUCAGCACCAUCCACCCCCUUUGUCAGCUCCCAGGRAAGCUCGUGGAGCUCCGUGGCGUUCCCCGUUCUCCUGCCCCGGAUCCGUGCGGAGCCUCGGCCCUCCCUKCACCAGAAGCAGCAGAACUGUGAGUAGGAUGGAUUGACCUCGGACUGAGGACCGACUGCAGUCUGUCAGGACACGGCAGAGGAUGGGAAUGUCUCUCGCUGGACUGGGAGUUCAUCCUUUUAGUGUGACUGCAAAGGUGUGGACCUGCCCACGGACUCGACUCCUCCAUCGCUCUCCUCUCUGGAAAAGCUGCCAAAAACAAACAAGGAUUUGCAAGUGACACAGAUUCACAAGUGUUCAGUGCUCCAGUGACUGGAUAACUUUUAUAAGACUUAUUAUCAUUUCUGAUAACAAAAAACAUCCUGUUGACAGAGCUGAGGAAAAACUUCACUGUCUUGCCCAAGCUCUUUUUAAUUUUUUUUUUCUUUCCCCUCCUACAUGAUGACAGCAAAUCCAGUUGAACAAAUACUUGUUGUUGAAGCAGAAGGAAUCAAAAUAAAUUUUGAUCACUCAAAGUAUUUUUGUUGGGGGGGUGGUGAGGGARGUCAAGGGCUGUAUUUGCUGGAAUUGUUUUAAAUAAUUGAUGUGCACACACCUGAUUAUUGGUUCUUCUCACUG
This is an RNA transcript of Malurus melanocephalus (red-backed fairy wren), 4345 nucleotides long. It is a transcript of the gene named bifunctional heparan sulfate N-deacetylase/N-sulfotransferase 4, with no coding region annotated. The record is from RefSeq and is a predicted model, not a curated record. Lineage: Eukaryota; Metazoa; Chordata; Aves; Passeriformes; Maluridae. The transcript has 15 exons.